Non-coding RNA from Cucurbita pepo subsp. pepo (vegetable marrow), 591 nucleotides. NCBI's taxonomy places the organism in Eukaryota, Viridiplantae, Streptophyta, Magnoliopsida, Cucurbitales, Cucurbitaceae. The record is from RefSeq and is a predicted model, not a curated record.
UUAUUUUCUCAGUACAUCCUAUACUCAAAGUUUAGAUUCAAUGGUUUUCACAGAACUCCUAUAUUUGCUGAUGACAUUCUUGUUGGUGAAACUGGAGAAGGGGAAGGUGUAAAGCCACCAGAAAAGUCAUUUUGGGCCAAAUAUUGGAUGUACCUGAUACCACUAGGACUGAUUGUUAUGAAUGCCAUAACACAAGCAAUGAACAUGGCUGAAGAACAGGUUGGUGGCCAAGCAGCAGGACAAGGACAAGCACAGCCACAGCAGUCAGCUGCUGCAAUACAACGUGGACCAGGCUCGUCUACGGUAAGACGACGAUAGGAACUGUUAGAAAAAUCGACAGGAAAGCAUGCACCGACGUGAAAUGGUUCGUUUUCCUUGUAGUUUUCAACAUAAUGAUUGGACUUGGAGAAUUUUUUGGCCAUGUAUUUCUAACUUUAUUAGCAUUAGAAACUUUGUCAAAGUGCAGAAUACUGUAUAUCCCAUUUAUUUGUUCGACUGAUGUUCAACUUCCAUUUGAGACUCCCGUUGGAAUUUGUUCAUUGAAGUAUUUAUGUUUUAUUAUGGAAUUGAGAAUGAUACUGAUUACCAUUA